CGUGCAGGCGGCCUAUUAAGUCAGAUGUGAAAUCCCUCGGCUCAACCAAGGAACUGCAUCUGAAACUAAUAGGCUUGAGUACGGGAGAGGAGAGUGGAAUUCCCGGUGUAGAGGUGAAAUUCGUAGAUAUCGGGAAGAACACCGGUGGCGAAGGCGGCUCUCUGGACCGAUACUGACGCUGAGACGCGAAAGCGUGGGGAGCAAACA
This 207-nucleotide ribosomal RNA is filed under the name uncultured bacterium. Its description in RNAcentral is "partial 16S ribosomal RNA". It matches the Rfam family "Bacterial small subunit ribosomal RNA", at positions 568 to 774 of the family's 1533-position model. The record is from RNAcentral.